UAUAGAGAUGGGGUCUCACUAUGUUGCUCAGGCUAGUCUCAAACUCCUGGGCUCAAGCAAUCCUCCUGCCUCAGCCUCCCAAAGUGCUGGGAUUACAGGCGCAAGCCACUACAGCCAACUACUUGUAUUUAUUUACUGCUCCUCCCUGCCUCCUACAAACAGACCCCAGGUCUGUUUCCUUAAAUGCCAAACUACAUGAAUCCUUAAAAUGCUAAACCGCUAAGGUCCUCCAGCCUCAGUGUUCUUUUCAGAAACAUGGGGCUAAGAACCACACUUCGGUGUGUAGGUUUGUUCCUGCCAGCCUCUUUCUCAUCCCCACAUCACUGUGCAGCUUUUGCUCUGCAAUGACCCUUGGUCUUACCUCUGCCCAGCAGGUGAUGAGAUCUGGGAACAGAGAGGAAACAGAGGGGAAACAGAGAAGGGAGGUCAUCUCCCCGGGCUCACAUAGCCAGUGAGCGGCCAGACAGGGCCAGAGGCAAGUCUCCCAAUCUGAGCAGUUACUGGCAGAGGUGAUUCUUCAUCUGUGCAACGCGUACAACAUCACGAGCCUCAUGGAGGGAAAUGACCUUAUGUCCAUGAAAGGCAUUCUUCAGCGAGUGUGGACCAUGUUGUUGGACUCUAAGAUCUGGAUUAUUAGUCCAGAUGCCUGCACGGUACAUAUCAGCUGUGUGACCUAGGACAAUGUUAUUUCACCUGCUGGAGACUCAGUUUUCUCAUCUGUAAGUUGGGUGGUAAUACAAGUACAAGCCUUUUAGGGUUGUCAUGAAGGUGCAGUAGGAGCCCGCCGUGGGAAGUGCAGUGCCUGGUGCAGCAAGCAGAUGUCGGCUCUGAUCCUCCCCAGGAUGAAGGGCCGGCGGCUCACACACCCCGAGUCCCGAGCACACCAGGCUCUUCCGGGACACUCGCUCAGCUCAUCCUCCCACAGCCUUAGGAGUGCCUGUGCCAUGCAGAUCCAAACAUCAAGGACCUGGGAGGUGGAGUGGCUCAAGCGGGGUCACCCGUUAGAAGAGGCAAAGGCAGGAUUAGAACCCAGGCCCGUGGGAGUCCAAGUGCGUCCCCUACCCGCUGUUCAGCGUCCACUCUCCAGCUCCUCCCUGGGAACCCUGGAGCCCCAGUGGGGAGUUCAGAGAUCCGCCCAGCCAUUCCUCCGCUGUGUGACCCCAAGCACAUUCCUUCCCCUCUCUGUGCCUCUUGGAGUUGCAGGAGAGUUGGGAGGGGUGAUUCUGCAUCAUGAGCACCCUCCUUUCUCCCCUUCUGCAGAGAAGAGCGUUCCUCUUUGCAUCCUCUAUGAGAAAUACCGUGACUGCCUCACGGAGUCCAACCUCAUCAAGGUGCGGGCCCUCCUCGUGGAGCCAGUUAUCAACAGCUACCUGCUGGCUGAGAGGGACCUCUACCUGGAGAAUCCAGAAAUCAAGAUCCGGAUCCUUGGGGAGCCCAAGCAGAAACGCAAGCUGGUGGCUGAGGUGUCCCUGCAGAACCCGCUCCCUGUGGCCCUGGAAGGCUGCACCUUCACUGUGGAGGGGGCCGGCCUGACUGAGGAGCAGAAGACGGUGGAGAUCCCAGACCCUGUGGAGGCAGGAGAGGAAGUUAAGGUGAGAAUAGACCUGCUGCCGCUCCACGUGGGCCUCCACAAGCUGGUGGUGAACUUCGAGAGCGACAAGCUGAAGGCUGUGAAGGGCUUCCGGAACGUCAUCAUUGGCCCCGCCUAAGGGACCCCUGCUCCCAGCCUGCUGACAGCCCCCACCUUGAUCCCAAUCCUUAUCCCAAGCUACUGAGGAAAAUAUGCCCCUUCUUGGGCCCCAGACCCCAGGGCAGGGUGGGCAGCCUAUGGGGGCUCUCGGAAAUGGAAUGUGCCCCUGGCCCAUCUCAGCCUCCUGAGCCUGUGGGUCCCCACUCACCCCCUUUGCUGUGAGGAAUGCUCUGUGCCAGAAACAGUGGCAGCCCUGACCUUGGCUGACUGGGGCUGGGGUGAGAGAGGAAAGACCUACAUUCCCUCUCCUGCCCAGAUGUCCUUUGGAAAGCCAUUGACCACCCGCCAUAUUGUUUGAUCUACUUCCUCGCCCCUUGGAGCAGGCAAAAAAGGGACAGCAUGCCCCUUGGCUGGAUCAGGGAAUCCAGCUCCCUAGACUGCAUCCUGUACCUCUUCCCAUGACUGCACCCAGCUCCAGGCGCCCUUGGGACAGCCAGAGCUGGGUGGGGACAGUGACAGGCCCAAGGUCCCCUCCACAUCCCAGCAGCCCAAGCUUAAUAGCCCUUCCCCUCAACCUCACCAUUGUGAAGCACCUACUAUGUGCUGGGUGCCUCCCACACUUGCUGGGGCUCACGGGGCCACCAACCCAUUUAAUCACCAUGGGAAACUGUUGUAGGCGCUGCUUCCAGGAUGAGGAGACUUAGAGAGAGGAGGCAGCCCCCUCCGCACAGUGGCCUCAUGAUUAUUAGCAAGGCUGGGUAAUGUGAAGGCCCAAGAACAGAGUCUGGGCCUCUGACUCUGAGUCCACUGCUCCAUUUAUAACCCCAGCCUGACCUGAGACUGUCGGAGAGGCUGUCUGGGACCUGAUCAAAAAAAGACUCAGCUGAGACAAGGAGGUAGAGAGGGGACUGGGGGACUGGGAGUCAGAGCCCUGGCUGGGUUCAGGCCCCACGUCUGGCCAGGCACUGCCUUCCCCUCUCUGGGCCUUUGUCUCCUUAUUGGUCAGAGGAGUGAUUGAACCAGCUCAUCUCCAAGGAUCCUCUCCACUCCAUGUUUGCAAUGCUUUUAUAUGGCCCAGCCUUGUAAAUAACCACAGGGUCCACUCCCUGCUCCACAAAGCCUUAAGCCAUAGGCCCAGGAUAUUUCUGAGAGUGAAACCAUGACUGUGACCACCUUCUGUCCCCACCCCUGUCCUGGUCCCCUCCUGUGCCCAGGUACCACCCUUUGGACCCCAGUUCUAGGGGAGAAGAGCCCUGGACACCCCUGCCCUACCCAUAAGCCUGCCCGCUGCAAUGCCUAGACUUCCCAACAGCCUUAGCUGCCAGUGCUGGUCACUAACCAACAAGGUUGGCACCCCAGCUACCCCUUCUUUGCAGGGCUAAGGCCCCCAAACAUAGCCCCUGUCCCGGAGGAAGCUUGGGGAGCCCAUGAGUUGUCAGCUCUGAUUUUAUCUCCUGCUCUUUCUACAUGACUGGGCCUCCCUUGGGCUGGAAGAAGGGGGGAUUCUCUAUUGGAGGUGAAAUCACAGCCUCCAGGGUCCCCCAAAUCCCAGAGAAGGACUUGGAAAGAAUCAUGCUGUUGCAUUUAGAACUUUGCUUUGCACAGGAAAGAGUCACACAAUUAAUCAACAUGUAUAUUUUCUCUAUACAUAGAGCUCUAUUUCUCUACGGUUUUAUAAAAGCCUUGGGUUCCAAGCAGGCAGUAGAUGUGCUUCUGAACCGCAAGGAGCAAACACUGAAAUAAAAUAGUUUAUUUUUCACACUCAAA
RNAcentral lists this small RNA (3457 nucleotides) under Pongo abelii (Sumatran orangutan). RNAcentral's name for it is "retained intron". The record is from RNAcentral. Lineage: Eukaryota; Metazoa; Chordata; Mammalia; Primates; Hominidae.